Molecule: small nuclear RNA, 107 nt
Filed under: Moschus moschiferus (Siberian musk deer)
Lineage: Eukaryota; Metazoa; Chordata; Mammalia; Artiodactyla; Moschidae
Source: RNAcentral
GUGCUCGCUUUGGCAGCACAUAUACUAAAACUGGAACGAUACAGAGAAGAUUAGCAUGACCCCUGCACAAGGAUGACAUGCAAAUUUGCGAAGCGUUCCAUAUUUUU